CCUACGGGAGGCAGCAGUGGGGAAUAUUGCACAAUGGGGGACACCCUGAUGCAGCGACGCCGCGUGAGUGAAGAAGUAAUUCGUUACGUAAAGCUCUAUCAGCAGGGAAGAAAAUGACGGUACCUGAGUAAGAAGCUCCGGCUAACUACGUGACAGCAGCCGCGGUAAUACGUAGGGGGCAAGCGUUAUCCGGAUUUACGGGGUUUAACGGGAGCGUAGACGGUGCGCCAAGUCGGGAGUGAAAUGCCGCGGCUUAACUGCGGAACUGCUUUGGAAACUGGCGAACUAGAGUGCGGGAGGGGUAGGCGGAAUUCGUAGUGUAGCGGUGAAAUGCGUAGAUAUUAGGAGGAACACCGGUGGCGAAGGCGGCUUACUGGACCGUAACUGACGUUGAGGCUCGAAAGCGUGGGGAGCAAACAGGAUUAGAUACCCUAGUAGUC
RNAcentral lists this ribosomal RNA (440 nucleotides) under uncultured bacterium. RNAcentral's name for it is "partial 16S ribosomal RNA". It matches the Rfam family "Bacterial small subunit ribosomal RNA", at positions 338 to 795 of the family's 1533-position model. The record is from RNAcentral.